AACGCUGGCGGCAUGCCUCAUACAUGCAAGUCGAACGAGGUCUUCGGACCUAGUGGCGCACGGGUGAGUAACAUGUGGGAAUCUGCCUAAAGGUUCGGAAUAACUGCGGGAAACUGUAGCUAAUACCGGAUGUGUCUGCAAAGAGAAAGAUUUAUCGCCUUUAGAUGAGCCCGCACUAGAUUAGCUAGUUGGUAAGGUAAAAGCUUACCAAGGCGACGAUCAAUAGCUGUUCUUAGAGGAAGACCAGCCACAUUGGGACUGAGACACGGCCCAGACUCCUACGGGAGGCAGCAGUGGGGAAUCUUGCACAAUGGGGGAAACCCUGAUGCAGCGAUGCCGCGUGAGUGAAGAAGGCCCUUGGGUUGUAAAACUCUUUCGUCGGGGAAGAAAAUGACUGUACCCGAAUAAGAAGGUCCGGC
Molecule: ribosomal RNA, 419 nt
Filed under: uncultured bacterium
Lineage: Bacteria
Description: bacterial SSU rRNA
Rfam family: Bacterial small subunit ribosomal RNA
Source: RNAcentral